GGAUGUGAGGGCGAUCUGGCUGCGACAUCUCACCCCAUUGAUCACCAGGGUUGAUUUGGCUGAUCUGGCUGGCUAGGCCGGUGUCCCUUUUCUCGCUCACCACUCCAUGCACAUCCCUCCCAGAGCUGCGCACUUGGUCAAAGAGGGUGACCAUCUCUGAUAGAGGAGGACCGUUCUUUGGUCAAGGGUAUACAAGUAGCUGCGCUCCCUUGCUAGAACCUCCAAACAAGCUCUCAAAAUUAUAGAGUUAAAUGAUGAGAGAAGGAAAUUUUGAAACCAUACAAAAGUAUUUAACUACAUUAUCUUUU
This is an unclassified non-coding RNA of Dipodomys ordii (Ord's kangaroo rat), 308 nucleotides long. Its record names the gene 7SK. It matches the Rfam family "7SK RNA". From Rfam's summary of the family: 7SK was discovered as an abundant small nuclear RNA in the mid-70s but a possible function has only recently been suggested. Two independent studies have found that 7SK RNA binds the CDK9/cyclin T complex (known as elongation factor P-TEFb). P-TEFb activates transcription by phosphorylating the C-terminal domain of RNA polymerase II. NCBI's taxonomy places the organism in Eukaryota, Metazoa, Chordata, Mammalia, Rodentia, Heteromyidae. The record is from Ensembl.